This 78-nucleotide transfer RNA is filed under the name Patescibacteria group bacterium. RNAcentral describes it as "tRNA-Asp". It matches the Rfam family "tRNA". From Rfam's summary of the family: Transfer RNA (tRNA) molecules are approximately 80 nucleotides in length. The record is from RNAcentral.
GGAGUCGUGGUGUAGCCUGGUUAACACAUCCCCCUGUCACGGGGAAGAUCGCGAGUUCGAAUCUCGUCGACUCCGCCA